GAUCCUGGCUCAGGACGAACGCUGGCGGCGUGCCUAAUACAUGCAAGUCGAACGCUUCUUUUUCCACCGGAGCUUGCUCCACCGGAAAAAGAGGAGUGGCGAACGGGUGAGUAACACGUGGGUAACCUGCCCAUCAGAAGGGGAUAACACUUGGAAACAGGUGCUAAUACCGUAUAACAAUCGAAACCGCAUGGUUUUGAUUUGAAAGGCGCUUUCGGGUGUCGCUGAUGGAUGGACCCGCGGUGCAUUAGCUAGUUGGUGAGGUAACGGCUCACCAAGGCCACGAUGCAUAGCCGACCUGAGAGGGUGAUCGGCCACAUUGGGACUGAGACACGGCCCAAACUCCUACGGGAGGCAGCAGUAGGGAAUCUUCGGCAAUGGACGAAAGUCUGACCGAGCAACGCCGCGUGAGUGAAGAAGGUUUUCGGAUCGUAAAACUCUGUUGUUAGAGAAGAACAAGGAU
Molecule: ribosomal RNA, 463 nt
Filed under: Enterococcus faecium
Lineage: Bacteria; Bacillati; Bacillota; Bacilli; Lactobacillales; Enterococcaceae
Description: bacterial SSU rRNA
Rfam family: Bacterial small subunit ribosomal RNA
Source: RNAcentral